Molecule: ribosomal RNA, 254 nt
Filed under: uncultured bacterium
Lineage: Bacteria
Description: partial 16S ribosomal RNA
Rfam family: Bacterial small subunit ribosomal RNA
Source: RNAcentral
GACGUAGGGGGCAAGCGUUGUUCGGAAUUAUUGGGCGUAAAGCGCUCGUAGGCGGGACAGGAAGUUCGUGUUGAAAGCCCCCGGCUCAACUGGGGAGGGUCAUCGGUAACGGUCGUGCUAUGAGUGCAGGAGAGGGAAGUGGAACUCCGGGAGUAGCGGUGAAAUGCGUAGAGACCCGGAGGAACACCAGUGGCGAAGGCGGCUUCCUGGUCUGCGACUGACGCUGUGACGCGAAAGCUAGGGGAGCAAACGGG